GAAAUGCGAUAAGUAAUGUGAAUUGCAGAAUUCAGUGAAUCAUCGAAUCUUUGAACGCACCUUGCGCUCCUUGGUAUUCCUCGGAGCAUGCCUGUUUGAGUAUCAUGAAAUCUUCAAAAUAAAUCUUUUGUUCACUCAAAUUGAUUUUAUUUUGGACUUGGAGGCUUGCAGAUUCACGUCUGCUCCUCUUAAAUUUAUUAGCUGGAUCUCGGUGAGCUCGGUUCCACUCGGCGUGAUAAGUUACUUAAUUCACUGAGGACACUCUAUAACCAAAGGGGUGCCAGGGUAAAUGCAGAUGAACCCGCUUCUAAUAGUCCAUUGAUUUGGACAAAAUAUAAUAAUGAUCUGAUCUCAAAUCAGGUAGGGCUACCCGCUGAACUUAAGCAUAUCAAUAAGCGGAGGAAAAGAAACUAAC
Molecule: ribosomal RNA, 415 nt
Filed under: uncultured Ceratobasidiaceae
Lineage: Eukaryota; Fungi; Basidiomycota; Agaricomycetes; Cantharellales; Ceratobasidiaceae
Description: eukaryotic LSU rRNA
Rfam family: 5.8S ribosomal RNA (bases 1-105)
Source: RNAcentral